GAUGAACGCUGGCGGCGUGCUUAACACAUGCAAGUCGAAGGGAAACCUUUUAUUGAAGGCUUCGGCAGAUUUAGCUGGGUUUCUAGUGGCGGACGGGUGAGUAACGCGUGGGUAACCUGCCUUAUACAGGGGGAUAACAACCAGAAAUGGUUGCUAAUACCGCAUAAGCGCACAGGACCGCAUGGUCCGGUGUGAAAAACUCCGGUGGUAUAAGAUGGACCCGCGUCUGAUUAGCUUGUUGGUGAGGUAACGGCCCACCAAGGCGACGAUCAGUAGCCGGCCUGAGAGGGUGAACGGCCACAUUGGGACUGAGACACGGCCCAAACUCCUACGGGAGGCAGCAGUGGGGAAUAUUGCACAAUGGGGGAAACCCUGAUGCAGCGACGCCGCGUGGAGGAAGAAGGUCUUCGGAUUGUAAACUCCUGUUGUUGAGGAAGAUAAUGACGGUACUCAACAAGGAAGUGACGGCUAACUACGUG
This 479-nucleotide ribosomal RNA is filed under the name uncultured bacterium. Its description in RNAcentral is "bacterial SSU rRNA". It matches the Rfam family "Bacterial small subunit ribosomal RNA", at positions 28 to 507 of the family's 1533-position model. The record is from RNAcentral.